This is a small nucleolar RNA of Anarrhichthys ocellatus (wolf-eel), 330 nucleotides long. Lineage: Eukaryota; Metazoa; Chordata; Actinopteri; Perciformes; Anarhichadidae. The record is from RefSeq and is a predicted model, not a curated record.
CCCGCAUGAUGAUAUCACGGCAAGUUUGAUGAUCCGGUCAGACCAAGAGAUUGUUGCUUCUAGCCUGCUGUUAGAUGGGUAAUCUUGGUGAUGUGGUGGAGUUUUAUUGCACUACUGUAAGGGCCCAACCACAGUUAACUUGUCAUCUUCGAUGACCUCUGCCCCCCCCAAGAGCAAUGGGACGGGUCAGGUAGGAGAUGUCAGACAAUGUGCGGAUGUUUGUUUGUGUGUGUGUGUUGCUGUAUGAAUGUAUAUGUAUCAGCUGGCAAGAAGCUAUAAUCUAUAGUUGGUUUGGCAAUAAUGAACUACAUUCUUUGGUAACCUGAGGGC